This 224-nucleotide long non-coding RNA is filed under the name Malus domestica (apple). RNAcentral's name for it is "long non-coding RNA (MDOM_LNC010887)". Lineage: Eukaryota; Viridiplantae; Streptophyta; Magnoliopsida; Rosales; Rosaceae. The record is from RNAcentral.
UGCAUAACUGUUUGCCGCUUGAGGAACUUGGGUGAUCUGGUAGUGGAAGUGCUUGAGCAAAAGUUGUGUUUGUGCAAGAUAUGCUGCCUUGGAGUUAUCUUUAGCAUCAAAGUUGUUCGUGACUUGGUUAACCACUAAUUGGGAGUUACUGAAGAUAUCAAUUUGUUUAACCUCAAGGUGUUUGGCCAAAUGUAAGCCUGCUAGAAGGGCUUCAUAAUCGGCCU